RNAcentral lists this ribosomal RNA (318 nucleotides) under Burkholderia pyrrocinia. RNAcentral's name for it is "bacterial SSU rRNA". It matches the Rfam family "Bacterial small subunit ribosomal RNA", at positions 26 to 344 of the family's 1533-position model. The record is from RNAcentral. Lineage: Bacteria; Pseudomonadati; Pseudomonadota; Betaproteobacteria; Burkholderiales; Burkholderiaceae.
AGAUUGAACGCUGGCGGCAUGCCUUACACAUGCAAGUCGAACGGCAGCACGGGUGCUUGCACCUGGUGGCGAGUGGCGAACGGGUGAGUAAUACAUCGGAACAUGUCCUGUAGUGGGGGAUAGCCCGGCGAAAGCCGGAUUAAUACCGCAUACGAUCUACGGAUGAAAGCGGGGGACCUUCGGGCCUCGCGCUAUAGGGUUGGCCGAUGGCUGAUUAGCUAGUUGGUGGGGUAAAGGCCUACCAAGGCGACGAUCAGUAGCUGGUCUGAGAGGACGACCAGCCACACUGGGACUGAGACACGGCCCAGACUCCUACGG